ACAUUUGCUGCUUCUCUGCAUUUUUGCUGAAGGUCCGUGCAUUUGAAGGAAGGACCUUGCUGUCUCCCAGCUCCUGUGGGCAUUAGGUUUCAUGAAUGUCUCUUGGGAAGAGGACAGCUCUGUAGAGCCUAAGUUUCAAAAGUAAUUUUAAAGAUUGCAUCCAAGAGAGAAGCAGUGAGAUGCACAGUGGGGAAAAUGAACCCAGCAGUCCAUCC
RNAcentral lists this long non-coding RNA (215 nucleotides) under Zonotrichia albicollis (white-throated sparrow). RNAcentral's name for it is "lncRNA (ENSZALG00000009211.1)". The record is from RNAcentral. Lineage: Eukaryota; Metazoa; Chordata; Aves; Passeriformes; Passerellidae.